AAGUCGCAAAUUUCAAAAUCAUUUCAGUUAUUUGCUUGCAGCAGAAGCGGCGAUGAAUUUCUACCAUAUGUUAACCGUAAUAGUUUUGGUCUUGGCCAAUUUUAUGGACCGAUCGAGUGCUAAUUGGAUAGAUGAUAUUGGCGCAGAAGUGGAAAAAGCUGGCAAAGAAGUCGAAGAAAUGGGUAGAGCUGUCGAAAAUAUGAACAUUUAAUUUUAACGCCAGCAAUAAAAUUUGUCUCAUUAUUAUAAGAAAAUAUAAACUAAAAUAGAUAUUACUACAAAUGAAAAGAUAUUAAAUGCUCAAUAAAAUUUAGAAACAUGUUUGACUGAAAAAACAAA
Long non-coding RNA from Drosophila montana, 339 nucleotides. RefSeq lists it as uncharacterized. The transcript is spliced from 3 exons. The record is from RefSeq and is a predicted model, not a curated record. Lineage: Eukaryota; Metazoa; Arthropoda; Insecta; Diptera; Drosophilidae.